ACGCACGCUGGCGGCGUGCUUCACCCAUGCAAGUCGAACGGAAAGGCCCCUUUGGGGGUACUCGAGUGGCGACCGGGUGAGUAACACGUGAGUAACCUGCCCUUGACUUCGGGAUAACUUCAGGAAACUGGGGCUAAUACCGGAUAGGAAUCCUUGCUGCAUGGUGGGGGUUGGAAAGCUUCGGCGGUUUUGGAUGGACUCGCGGCUUAUCAGCUUGUUGGUGGGGUAGUGGCUUACCAAGGCUUUGACGGGUAGCCGGCCUGAGAGGGCGACCGGCCACAUUGGGACUGAGAUACGGCCCAGACUCCUACGGGAGGCAGCAGUGGGGAAUAUUGCACAAUGGGCGGAAGCCUGAUGCAGCAACGCCGCGUGCGGGAUGACGGCCUUCGGGUUGUAAACCGCUUUCAGCAGGGGCGAAGCUUGUGGUGACGGUACCUGCAGAAGAAGCACCGGCUAACUACGUG
RNAcentral lists this ribosomal RNA (464 nucleotides) under uncultured bacterium. RNAcentral describes it as "partial 16S ribosomal RNA". It matches the Rfam family "Bacterial small subunit ribosomal RNA", at positions 29 to 507 of the family's 1533-position model. The record is from RNAcentral.